Molecule: ribosomal RNA, 727 nt
Filed under: Streptomyces sp.
Lineage: Bacteria; Bacillati; Actinomycetota; Actinomycetes; Kitasatosporales; Streptomycetaceae
Description: bacterial SSU rRNA
Rfam family: Bacterial small subunit ribosomal RNA
Source: RNAcentral
UCUGGGACAAGCCCUGGAAACGGGGUCUAAUACCGGAUAACACUUCCACUCGCAUGGGUGGGGGUUGAAAGCUCCGGCGGUGAAGGAUGAGCCCGCGGCCUAUCAGCUUGUUGGUGAGGUAGAAGCUCACCAAGGCGACGACGGGUAGCCGGCCUGAGAGGGCGACCGGCCACACUGGGACUGAGACACGGCCCAGACUCCUACGGGAGGCAGCAGUGGGGAAUAUUGCACAAUGGGCGAAAGCCUGAUGCAGCGACGCCGCGUGAGGGAUGACGGCCUUCGGGUUGUAAACCUCUUUCAGCAGGGAAGAAGCGAAAGUGACGGUACCUGCAGAAGAAGCGCCGGCUAACUACGUGCCAGCAGCCGCGGUAAUACGUAGGGCGCAAGCGUUGUCCGGAAUUAUUGGGCGUAAAGAGCUCGUAGGCGGUCUGUCACGUCGGAUGUGAAAGCCCGGGGCUUAACCCCGGGUCUGCAUUCGAUACGGGCAGACUAGAGUGUGGUAGGGGAGAUCGGAAUUCCUGGUGUAGCGGUGAAAUGCGCAGAUAUCAGGAGGAACACCGGUGGCGAAGGCGGAUCUCUGGGCCAUUACUGACGCUGAGGAGCGAAAGCGUGGGGAGCGAACAGGAUUAGAUACCCUGGUAGUCCACGCCGUAAACGGUGGGAACUAGGUGUUGGCGACAUUCCACGUCGUCGGUGCCGCAGCUAACGCAUUAAGUUCCCCGCCUGG